This is a long non-coding RNA of Microcebus murinus (gray mouse lemur), 1350 nucleotides long. RefSeq lists it as uncharacterized. Lineage: Eukaryota; Metazoa; Chordata; Mammalia; Primates; Cheirogaleidae. The record is from RefSeq and is a predicted model, not a curated record.
UAGUGAGGGUCUUUGUGCUGUCUCAUCCCAUGGUGGAUGGUGGAAGAGCAAGGAUGAGGCAACCAAAGACUGUAUGUCCAUCAGAGCUUCAGUGAGAUGAUGACGCCCACAGCUCAGAGGUCCAUUGAGAUCAAAGACCUUACCUUGCCUGGGAGAGGACCAACUCGAACUGACCUAAAACACCACCUUUUAAACUGGCUUUCAGCCCCACCGCCUAUAUCAGGAGCUGUUCGCCUUCCUGUCAAUAAAUCAGUUGGCAUUUGGAAACAAAGCCCACAAGGAGGAGAGGGGAGGGAGGAUCUAGUUUGAGGCACUAACAAGGAGAAGAUAUCCUUUUCAAAAGAGCCCCUAUCAGAGCAACAUGAAUUCUGCUAAAAUUGAGGCAAGAACAAACAUGAAAUUUAUGGUGAAAAUUGGGUGGAAGAAUGAUAAAAUCAUUGCUAUUUUGAGAAAAGUUUAUGGGGACAAUGCCCCAAAGAAAUUAGCAGUCUACAAAUGGAUAACUCAUUUUAAGAAAGAAUGAGAUGAUGUUGAAGGUGAAGCCCACAGUGAUACACCAUCCACAUCAAUUUUGAAGGAAAAAUUCAUCUUGUUCAUGCUCUAAUUGACAAUUAAUAGCUGAAACAAUAGCCAACUCCAUAGACAUCUCAGUUGGUUCAGCUUACACAAUUCUGACUGUAAAGUUAAAGUUGAGCAAACUUUCCACUUGAUGGGUGCCAAAAUUGUUGCAUCCAGACCAGAGGUGGACAAGAACAGAGCACUCAAUGGAAAUUUUAAACAAGUGGGAUCAAAAUCUUGGAACAUUUCUUUGAAAAAUUGUAGCAGGAGAUGGAACAUGGCUUUACCAAAGACAAAGCACAAUCCGAGUAAUGGCUACCAAGAGGUGGAAGUGUCCAGUCAAAGCAAAAGUAGACUGCUCAAGAGCAAAGGUCAUGGCAACAUUUUUUUGGGAUGCUCAAUGCAUUUUGCUUGUUGUCUUUUCGGAUGACCAAAGAAUGAUAACAUCUGCUUAUUAAGAGAGUGUUUUAAGAAAGUUAGCCAAAGCUUUAGUGGAAAAAUGCCCAGGAAAGCUACUUCACAGAGAAUUUUUCACCACCACAACAAUGGUUCUGCUCAUUCCUCUCAUCAAACAAGGGCAGUUUUGCGAGAGUUGCGAUGGUGAAUCAUUGGGCAUACAUCUUACCGUCCUGAUUUGGCAACUUCUGACUUCCUUUUGUUUCCUAAUCUUAAAAACACUAUAAAGGGCACCCAUUUUUCUUCAAUUAAUAAUGUAAAAAAGACUGCCUUGACAUGAUUAAAUUUACAGGAUGCUCAGUUCUUUAGAGAUAGACUAAAUAGGCUGGUAUCAUU